CUGCCGCGCGGCGGGCGGGCGGCUGCCAGCGGCCCGGGCUCUCCCCGCCCCCGUCUCCUCCCCUCCGCCGCCGAUCCUCCGCCCCUCUGCCUUCUCCUCGCGGCGGCGGCGGCGGCGUUCUCGGCCCCGGCUCCUCGCGCUGCUCCGCGGCUUCGCCCCGCUCCUCUCCGGGGCUCCCGCGCCGCGCUGGCCAGGACGGCAUUGCUGCAGGGAGCCUCUGGGAGUUCCAGGGUGAAGAGAUCUGCCUUCAUCUGGAGACCUCUGCUAAAGGUGAAGACCUCCUACAGGGCCAGACAGCCUUAGCAGGACUUCAGAAGUCUUACACCAAGGUCAUUUCACACUUCUCCGAGAAUUUCAAACCCAGCCAUUUUAUUGUGAUUCUGGUGAACAAUAUCUGAAGUUGAUGAAGGGGAAAAAAGAGGACCACAAAGCUUGCUGUGAUACUGAGGGAGGUCAGUGAAUGAGAAUUACAUCUCCAUGUAUAGCUCUAUACAGUUGCACUCCAGAGGCUACAAGAAAGUCUCUUUACCAUGAAGUCAUACCCAGGGAGCUCUGUCCUUCUUAAGUCUUAGAAUUUUAUUCAGUUUACACAAACUUUUGUAAACAGCAGAUCACCAUUUGCUCAGAUCUUCCACCCUCACCCCUAGUAACUGAACUGGCUAGGUGUUCCUGUUGUUUCUUUGGUGGAUACAUGUUCAGAGAUAACGACAUGUUCAACUGUAUUAAAUACCAGAGAUACACCAUCAAAAUACAAGCUAUGUGAUCUUACUACUUCUCUGAAAGAGCCAUAAAACCUAAAAACAACCAAAUCCUGGCCCUUGUAAAAUUUUUAUAAGAAAGAUUAAACUUAAAUUUAUGAAGAAGGAUAUUCCAAAAACAUGUAGUAUAU
RNAcentral lists this long non-coding RNA (889 nucleotides) under Chloebia gouldiae (Gouldian finch). Its description in RNAcentral is "Erythrura gouldiae (Gouldian finch) lncRNA (ENSEGOG00005000274.1)". The record is from RNAcentral. Lineage: Eukaryota; Metazoa; Chordata; Aves; Passeriformes; Passeridae.